GGGAAUUUAGCUCAGUGGCAUAAGUGCCUGCCUUGCAAGCAGGCAGUCAUGAGUUUGAUCCCCGGGUUCCCU
Molecule: transfer RNA, 72 nt
Organism: Cavia porcellus (domestic guinea pig)
Lineage: Eukaryota; Metazoa; Chordata; Mammalia; Rodentia; Caviidae
Rfam family: tRNA
About the family: Transfer RNA (tRNA) molecules are approximately 80 nucleotides in length.
Source: Rfam